GGGGGGGCAAGCGUUGUUCGGAAUUACUGGGCGUAAAGGGCGCGCAGGCGGCCCGGCCAGUCCUACGUGAAAUCCCACAGCUCAACUGUGGGACUGCGUGGGAUACUGCCAGGCUUGAGUCCGGGAGAGGAGAGUGGAAUUCCCAGUGUAGCGGUGAAAUGCGUAGAUAUUGGGAGGAACACCGGUGGCGAAGGCGGCUCUCUGGACCGGCACUGACGCUGAGGCGCGAAAGCUAGGGGAGCAAACGGGGAUUAGAUACCCCGGUAGUCCUAGCCCUAAACGAUGAGCACUUUGUGUGGCGGGUAUCGACCCCCUGCCGUGCAGAAGCUAACGCAUUAAGUGCUCCGCCUGGGGAGUACGGUCGCAAGGCUG
This 372-nucleotide ribosomal RNA is filed under the name uncultured organism. RNAcentral's name for it is "partial 16S ribosomal RNA". It matches the Rfam family "Bacterial small subunit ribosomal RNA", at positions 528 to 896 of the family's 1533-position model. The record is from RNAcentral.